AUCAGAUGUCAUGUAAAUGUGAUACUCGCUAGUCAUGAAUGAGACUUGCUCAGCAUUCAAUCCUGUGAAAGUAAACAUCCCAAUUUGCUUGAUGAUAUGACUCCAAUCACCUGGAGUACCUCGAGCUUGCAUGGCAGCAUAGAGUUGCUGGCGCAUGCUAAUAAUUCUGUCAGCCAUUGCUUUCAGCUCAACAGUCCAUUCAUCAUACAUUUGUCUGUCCUUGAGUAUAGUGGCAACAAUAGACGCACCAUGAAUCGGCGGAUUUGAGUACAUUGGCCUUAUAACCAUCUUUAGCUGGCUUUCGACUUUGCUUGCAACAUCGCUAUCUUUGCAAACAAUGCUAAGGGCACCGACACGCUCUCCAUACAGUCCCAUGUUUUUGGCAUAACUCUGAGCUGCAAGACAUUCACCACCAUCAGCCACAAACAUGCGGACAGAUUGUGCAUCUGCAUCUAGUUUGCCACUGGCAAAACCCUGAUAAGCA
This 484-nucleotide unclassified non-coding RNA is filed under the name Hevea brasiliensis (rubber tree). The record is from RNAcentral. Lineage: Eukaryota; Viridiplantae; Streptophyta; Magnoliopsida; Malpighiales; Euphorbiaceae.